Molecule: ribosomal RNA, 464 nt
Filed under: uncultured bacterium
Lineage: Bacteria
Description: partial 16S ribosomal RNA
Rfam family: Bacterial small subunit ribosomal RNA
Source: RNAcentral
GACGAACGCUGGCGGCGUGCUUAACACAUGCAAGUCGAACGGAAAGGCCCUGCUUGCAGGGUACUCGAGUGGCGAACGGGUGAGUAACACGUGGGUGAUCUGCCCUGCACUUCGGGAUAAGCCUGGGAAACUGGGUCUAAUACCGGAUAGGAGCCAUUUUUAGUGUGAUGGUUGGAAAGUUUUUUCGGUGUAGGAUGAGCUCGCGGCCUAUCAGCUUGUUGGUGGGGUAAUGGCCUACCAAGGCGGCGACGGGUAGCCGGCCUGAGAGGGUGGACGGCCACCUUGGGACUGAGAUACGGCCCAGACUCCUACGGGAGGCAGCAGUGGGGAAUAUUGCACAAUGGGCGCAAGCCUGAUGCAGCGACGCCGCGUGGGGAUGACGGCCUUCGGGUUGUAAACUCCUUUCGCUAGGGACGAAGCUUUUUGUGACGGUACCUAGAUAAGAAGCACCGGCUAACUACGUG